AGGAAGUACUUAUCUAGAUCGUGGCGAUGUGCCAAAGCAGCCUUGGAAGCCGACGAGGUGCAAAAAUUGUGGUGUGGUGGGGCACCAAAGGAAUAAUUUUACGAAAGCAAUGGACCUGAGGUUAGCUGGUGGCGUGUAGUGGUGAGUGAAAAAUGCCAAACGAUUUCAGUAAGUUUGAAUGGUCAAAGUGUGACUUUGUUUUCUGCAUUCGUGAUGUGUUUGUGCAACUGAGCACCUGCCCUGCGUGCAGGCAUGCUUUAUGUCUCGAGUUGUAAUACAAAUGUAUUCAGUGAUGCAUUAGUGGGUGCUGUGAAGUAUCUAGGGUUGAAAAAAAUAUCCUUUUUUCAGUUGGGUUUAUGGAAGGUGAACUGCUUAAUUAGAUGAAACCAUGCAAGUGGACUGAAUUUCUAUAAUCAGUUGUUGUUUUGUAUGCUUGACGGAAGUCUACAGCCGGGCAGAUGGAUAUAGUCGUCAGUGCGGGCGACGACGGCUCUAUGGUGACCUUGCAUGCAGGUGUGUUGUCAAUAAUUUGUUGAUGUUUCAGUAGUAAGUGUGUUGUUCUCGCGUUGAACCCCUUGCAAAAAAAUUCGUGACACAAGGGUUGCCUGUUUGGAAAACGCUGUUAAGUAGGUAUCAGCAGAUGAUGCAGAGGGGACAUUGUCGAGCAAGCGUCAAAUGUGGCAAUGCAGGUAUGACUUUUUUUUAUCAAAGAAGGGCUUGCCCCCUCCGAUUUUCAUUACUGAAAACCACCACGAUUCACAAAAAGUUCCGAACAUCACAAACCUAAGAUGAAACUAAAGCUACCAGGUUCAAAUCGAAACAAAAGGCCAUCGCAGGCCAACACCCACACUGGAAUCCAGCAUCCAAAGCAGAAAACGAGGAGCUAAAAGAAGCCCAGCAGCAACUAGACCUAACAGCAGCGCCGGAGUCACAGCAGCAAGAGUUCCUUCAUUCCAGUCUAGCGACGUUGAUCCUCCACCCCUGCCUGGCUGUGAACACCUCACUUGCUGCCCGUUUUAGCACUCUUGCUCCCAGCUCCAAUGUUUUUUUUGACGGCUCCUUUAUCUGCAAAAUAGACCAAUCAAUCAACCAUCUGCACAUUAAUUUGAUAAUGCAGAAAGGAUCAUUUAUCCUUUUUUUCUCAAAUAUAAUCGCAUUUCUGCUUUUCCAAAUUGCCCAAAACAGGGCUGAAACCCCCACCAUAACCAUUUUCUUAUCCUCUUUUUUGAAUUUUUUUCAUCCAUUCUCCAAUGCAGGUAUGACCUGAGCUCGAGUAUAGAUUUUCUUUGUUGUUGAGUGCAGAUUGCAUAAGGAAGCAUUUCCGUUGUCGCCUGAUGUUUUGUUUUGUUGUGCGCAGAGUGAGGAUGCAAUAAAGUAUUGGACUGACGCUUCAGAAGGCGUGACACGUUCCACUGGACUAGGUGCCGGAAUAUGAUCCAGUCAACCUGGCGGCUGUUGAUGUUGUUAGGGAGGGCUAAGGUGAUUAUGAUCCAGUAAUGAAUCAUGGAGAUGAGUCGAACAAAUUGUUCGGUGUCGACAAUGGAUCCGUCAUCCGUUGCUGGAAAUGGGUGUGUUAUUCCGACGAGGAGUAUGCAGAAGUGAGAAAUUCUGAACCAAAACGACAGCGGCUCGUUUUGGGAAGAACCAGGAUCAGUUUGCUGGCGUUGCGUCGGGUAAUGAUGUCAUUACCCGCCUAGUGCUAGUGUUGUGAUGCAAUCCAUGUACAAGUUUGUUGUGUUGUCAUGGUUAAUUAAGAUUCAUAAUCAUCAUAUCACAUUUGUCUUGUGACCGUGUUCGUUGGCGAUCAUGCAAAGUAAUGUGACGGCUUGAACGGCCUUCUAUGGAACAGAAUCGACAAG
This 1859-nucleotide long non-coding RNA is filed under the name Triticum aestivum (bread wheat). RNAcentral describes it as "long non-coding RNA (TAES_LNC017766)". Lineage: Eukaryota; Viridiplantae; Streptophyta; Magnoliopsida; Poales; Poaceae. The record is from RNAcentral.